GCCCCCCAUUGCCCCAGAAGUACCACCAACAUCAUACACACUACCUGCAAAACAACAUCCCGGGUGGCCCAUCACCUCCUCCUUCACCUCCACUGAACCCAACAACCCCUAGAUUCUCCUCAUACGCUCCCAUUGCAGCAUCAUCAUCCUUAUACAUUUCCUUUGGUCUCUCCCCUACAUAAUAAGGCCUGGAGCAACCAAACACCCUCCUUACUUCAGAUCCUUUUGGUCGAUGAGCCAUCGCUCUACACCCA
Molecule: long non-coding RNA, 254 nt
Filed under: Aquilegia coerulea
Lineage: Eukaryota; Viridiplantae; Streptophyta; Magnoliopsida; Ranunculales; Ranunculaceae
Description: long non-coding RNA (ACOE_LNC000692)
Source: RNAcentral